RNAcentral lists this long non-coding RNA (614 nucleotides) under Anas platyrhynchos platyrhynchos (common mallard). RNAcentral's name for it is "lncRNA (ENSAPLG00000030974.1)". Lineage: Eukaryota; Metazoa; Chordata; Aves; Anseriformes; Anatidae. The record is from RNAcentral.
GCAGAGUCAGGCUCUGGACUUCAGAAAAUCAGAUUUCUGUUUGUUUAGGCAAUUUCUUUGACCAAAUUUCAGUUUCUGAGGCAGAACUCCCUCUGGAAGCUUCCAUGAGGAGAAAAAGUGCAUAAGCAAGAUGGUUGAUCUUUAAAAAAAACUUACAGAGAGUUCAGAAACAAACUUUCUUCCAUUUGUACAUAAAAAUGAAAAUUUUUGGCAGAACGGUUGCUUGGCUAGGCAGGGAGCCCCUGGAUGAACUGAAACACAAGAACACACAAGAAGUAGAAACCAGGCAACAAAGAAGCAACACAAACAGAACUUCUUGAGCAUUUGGAGGAAAAUCAGAAAGACCCGGGCAACGAAGAAGCAACACAAACAGAACUUCUUGAACAUUUGGAGGAAAAUCAGAAAGACCAAGGCUCAGCUGUAGAUAAAAGUAGCGAGGAACAUAAGGGGAGUGCUGAAAUACCUCCAUCAGUGUGUUCAUGAAUUCUAAGUGGAUGGACUGCAAUCAGCUGUUUGAUUUGACCAUAACAAGAGUAUUUAUACAUGAAGAAAAAUACCUGCUAUUCAUUGAAUCACUCAGGAAACAGGAAAUAAAACAAUGGCUCAGUGAUUAG